Molecule: long non-coding RNA, 280 nt
Filed under: Elaeis guineensis (African oil palm)
Lineage: Eukaryota; Viridiplantae; Streptophyta; Magnoliopsida; Arecales; Arecaceae
Description: long non-coding RNA (EGUI_LNC071100)
Source: RNAcentral
CCUCUGGACUCAAAAAUCAUCUACACCAUCUCAACCAUCUCUCCAUUGAUGAUAGGUCAGUACCGACAGAAAAAGAGAGGGAGAAAUCCAUCUGGCCCUGAGGUCUUGUCCUCUCCAAGAGACAAGAAGGUCCCCCGCACCUCCUCAGUAGACAUUGAAUGAGUUAGGACCUCAUUCUCCUCAUUAGAGAUGCAGCACCUAGGAUCGGAUCCCUGGCAUGGGGCCUCCCUUCCCAAGAGAGCGAUCCAGCGUGAUAUGAAGACUUGAAGAAUUUGUCCUC